GUGCCAGCCGCCGCGGUAACACCAGCGGCCCGAGUGGUAGCCGAUUUUAUUGGGCCUAAAGCGCCCGUAGCCGGGCUGGCAAGUCCUUUGUGAAAUCGGACGGCUUAACCGUUCGGCUUGCAAGGGAAACUGUCGGUCUUGGGGCUGGUAGGCGUCGAGGGUACUCCAGGGGUAGCGGUGAAAUGCUAUAAUCCUUGGGGGACCGCCAGUGGCGAAAGCGCUCGACGAGACCAGACCCGACGGUGAGGGACGAAGGCCAGGGGCGCGAACCGGAUUAGAUACCCGGGUAGUCCUGGCUGCAAAGUAUGUGGGCUAGGUGCUGGGCGUUCCUCGAGAGCGUCCGGUGCCGAAGGAAAGCCAUUAAGCCCACCGCCUGGNAAGUACGGUCGCAAGACUGAAACUUAAAGAAAUUGGCGGGGG
Molecule: ribosomal RNA, 420 nt
Filed under: uncultured candidate division MSBL1 archaeon
Lineage: Archaea; Methanobacteriati; Methanobacteriota
Description: bacterial SSU rRNA
Rfam family: Archaeal small subunit ribosomal RNA
Source: RNAcentral